This 496-nucleotide ribosomal RNA is filed under the name uncultured bacterium. RNAcentral's name for it is "partial 16S ribosomal RNA". It matches the Rfam family "Bacterial small subunit ribosomal RNA", at positions 28 to 507 of the family's 1533-position model. The record is from RNAcentral.
GAUGAACGCUGGCGGCGUGCCUAAUACAUGCAAGUCGAGCGAACAGACGAGGCGCUUGCUCCUCUGACGUUAGCGGCGGACGGGUGUGUAACACGUGGAUCACCUCCCUAUCAUACUGGUAUCACUUCGGGAAACCGGCGCUUAUACCGGAUAAUAUAUUGAACCGCAUGGUUCGAUAGAGAAUGACGGUGUUGCUGUCUCUUCUAGAUGGAUCCGCGCUGCAUUAGCUAGUUGGUACGGUAACGGCUACUAAGGCAACGAUGCGUAGACGACCUGAGAGGGUGGUCGGCGACACGGGAACUGGGACGCGGUCCAGACGCCUACGGGAGGCAGCAGUAGGGAAUGGGCGGCAGUGGGCGAAAGCUUGACGGAACAACGCCGCGUGAGUGAUGAAGGUGUUCGGAUCGUAAUGCUCUGUUAUUAGGGAAGAACAAAUGUGGAAGUUACUAUGCACGGCGUGACGGUACCUAAUCAGAAAGCAACGGCUAACUACGUG